GGGUCCUAGCUCUCUUUACGUCAUCCCAAGAGCAGCGCAUAGGUUAGGUCGAGCCUUAGGGGUUCGUUGGCUCCUGUACUCGUUGGAACCGGUUAGGGAGAGGACGAGGGCGGGACUAAGAUCGACGGCGCCGAUUGGAGCUCUUCUCCUGUGACAGCUGAACUUCUUCCUGUGGAAUCAGAGCCUAGAACUUGUGUACCUAGGAAGUUUUGACCUGCCUGGUUCCUCUCAUUUGGAGCGAACCUCUUUUCUUGGAUUAGCCUGGGUGUGAGUUGUCACAUUGCAAUGCCCUACCUGGAUUACUCUGGCCUCACUGGCACCAGGGAGGAAUUGUGGAAAGGCACUGGAAGACUAUUAGCACUUGAGUGAUUUAGCCUGUGUCCUCACUGCAAAGUGGAUGGGCUAUCAGCCCAAGUGACCGUGGAACCUACAUUCUAACUCCUUUGCUCAGCUGACUUGAAAGUACCACUAAACUUAGGAUAAAAUUGCAAAGAUGGGAUGUCAUGCAUUUGUGUGAGGAAACACCUAACCAGAGUGGGUAAGCUAAGGACAGUGUGUUAAUUGUGAAUUUAUUUAUCUUGGUAUCAAAAGAACAAAAUCCACAUUGCAGAUUAUGGACAGCUAAAUGAAAUUUUGUGAAGCACAGCUGGUUUUUGCAGUGUUUGAAAAUGCAUCCAAGUCAAGACCUACAAAUAUUUGCUGGGAAGAUAUGGUAGGGUUUCCAUUAUUAGCAAAAUAGCUGCGAGAAGAACAUUUUUGAAAAAAGGGAGCAGGAAUGAAAAAAAUAAGAGUGCUGGACUGAGACUUUGUUGUACCUUGUAUUGAAUAUUUACAGCCAAAUUAUAUUGUGUUACUAUAACAAAACUUAGAGUAGUAUUUUCACCAUAUGCUCCAGUUAGUGUUUUCCUGUAACUGAAAGCAAUGGAGAUAAGUCUUCUCUGGUAUUCUUCUGUGAAUAUACAUGGCCUUAGGAUGAACAUAACAACAUGUAACAAAAUGUCAAGGAAAACAACAGAUAGGCAAAUGAUCAUUGAAAUAGUAACCUCAAAAUCCUGCACUGUAAUAUCAAUGCAUCAAGUAAUGUUUCACUUUGGAGGCUCUGAGGGUGAGAAUAUAUAAAAUUUAUCCUGGACACCAUAUGCAAAUUUGGAGGUUUGCCUACAUAUUUGUGUGGAGUGAUGUUUGAAAAUACACCCCUUACCUUCUGUCAGCUUCAUAAAGCAAAGUAAUUUAUCAUCCUUUAUUGUUUAAUACAAAAUUUAAUUGUGACACUUUUGCAUUCAAUUGGUUUCCAAACAAAAAUAAAGGAGAAAAGUCUUAUUUUGCUUGCAUGUGACAUUUUUUUUUUUAUAAAAAAAAAAAACACCAACCAAUAACUAUUUUACUCUGUACAUAAAAAUGAAGCCAUUUACUAGAAGGACCUUGUAGCCUGUUUUGACAAAAUAUAAUGGCACAUUCAAAGACUGAAUUGCUACAAAUAGUAAUGGGUAUGUAAACAAAUCUUCCAAGGUUUUACAGUACUCAGGCUUAUCAAUUCUAAUCCUGUAACACCUAGAUUAUUCUUAAAAUACAAUGUUUAUUUUUGGACCUUGUUUACAGUUUUAAAUCUUUUAAUAAAACGGUAUCUUACAUAAACACUGUUAACCUACAAAAUAUAAGGCAGAGGACUAAUAAAAAGGAACCCGUCAGAUCAACUGGAUCACUCACAAAGGCCUGAUUAAACAUAUUUUCAUUGUAACAAUUUAACUAUUUCAGAUAAGGAUGUGGGUUAUUUUAACUAUAAUAGCUAAAUUAUACAGGAAUAAGAUAUACCGGUAUCUGCACCUGUAUAUGCUAAAAAAGAAAAGGAGUACUUGUGGCACCUUAGAGACUGACAACAUUUAUUUGAGUAUAAGCUUUCGUGAGCUACAGCUCACUUCAUCGGAUGCAU
Dermochelys coriacea (leatherback sea turtle) is the source of this 1930-nucleotide long non-coding RNA. RefSeq lists it as uncharacterized. The record is from RefSeq and is a predicted model, not a curated record. NCBI's taxonomy places the organism in Eukaryota, Metazoa, Chordata, Testudines, Dermochelyidae. The transcript has 5 exons.